This 254-nucleotide ribosomal RNA is filed under the name uncultured archaeon. RNAcentral describes it as "partial 16S ribosomal RNA". It matches the Rfam family "Archaeal small subunit ribosomal RNA", at positions 748 to 1008 of the family's 1478-position model. The record is from RNAcentral.
UGGCCGUAAACGAUGUGGACUUGGUGUUGGAAUGGCUCCGAGCUGCUCCAGUGCCGAAGGGAAGCUGUUAAGUCCACCGCCUGGGAAGUACGGUCGCAAGACUGAACUUAAGGAUGGCGGGAGCACCACAACGCGUGGAGCCUGCGGUUUAAUUGGAUUCAACGCCGGACAUCUCACCAGGGCGACAGCAGAAUGAUGGCCAGGUUGAUGACCUUGCUUGACAAGCUGAGAGGAGGUGCAUGGCGUGUGACUGU